AACGAACGCUGGCGGCAGGCUUAACACAUGCAAGUCGAGCGAGACCUUCGGGUCUAGCGGCGGACGGGUGAGUAACGCGUGGGAACGUGCCCUUCUCUACGGAAUAGCCCCGGGAAACUGGGAGUAAUACCGUAUACGCCCUUUGGGGGAAAGAUUUAUCGGAGAGGGAUCGGCCCGCGUUGGAUUAGGUAGUUGGUGGGGUAAUGGCCCACCAAGCCGACGAUCCAUAGCUGGUUUGAGAGGAUGAUCAGCCACACUGGGACUGAGACACGGCCCAGACUCGUACGGGAGGCAGCAGUGGGGAAUAUUAGACAAUGGGGGCAAACCUGAUAUAGCCAUGCCGGGUGAGUGAUGAAGGCGUUAGGGUUGUAAAGCUCUUUCAGAGGGGAAGAUAAUGACGGGAACAGCAGAAGAAACCACGGCUAAAUCAGU
This 432-nucleotide ribosomal RNA is filed under the name uncultured bacterium. RNAcentral's name for it is "partial 16S ribosomal RNA". It matches the Rfam family "Bacterial small subunit ribosomal RNA", at positions 29 to 506 of the family's 1533-position model. The record is from RNAcentral.